Molecule: ribosomal RNA, 256 nt
Filed under: uncultured bacterium
Lineage: Bacteria
Description: partial 16S ribosomal RNA
Rfam family: Bacterial small subunit ribosomal RNA
Source: RNAcentral
UACGUAGGGUGCGAGCGUUGUCCGGAAUUACUGGGCGUAAAGAGCUUGUAGGUGGUUUGUCGCGUUGUUCGUGAAAUCUCACGGCUCAACUGUGAGCGUGCGGGCGAUACGGGCAGACUAGAGUACUGCAGGGGAGACUGGAAUUCCUGGUGUAGCGGUGGAAUGCGCAGAUAUCAGGGAGGAACACCGGUGGCGGAAGGCGGGUCUCUGGGCAGUAACUGACGCUGAGAAGCGGAAAGCGUGGGGAGCGAACAGG